RNAcentral lists this long non-coding RNA (754 nucleotides) under Patiria miniata (bat star). Its description in RNAcentral is "uncharacterized LOC119735680". The record is from RNAcentral. Lineage: Eukaryota; Metazoa; Echinodermata; Asteroidea; Valvatida; Asterinidae.
UUCUUCUUGUACCCUCUUGUGGUGUUGCCCUGUGUCAGGCAUGGUUCACAUGUAUUAUGUAAGACAAUGUGGGGGGCAACAGCCUGGCCUGGAGUGAUGGGUUGUUGGUGCGCGGGUGCGGCAUUCCUUUCCUGGCUCUGGUGUAGAGUACAUCACUCUCCUUGCUCUGGACUGGAAUCACCGCUGAACACUUUCAUUAUUUUGUAAACCCAUCAUUUUCCUGGCACAGGUUCUCCUGCCGUUUGUCAUGUUGGACGAGGACGAGACCUAGCUGUGCAUUACUACUUCUACCACUUGUGGAGCUGAGUGACGAUUUUCUGUUCCGCUUUCCUCCAUAUCACCUUUUCAUCUCAUCACACCCCUGACCGUCCUCUGACGAGUUGCGUCCUUCUGGAAGUUGCAGUCGCUAGUUUCCUGCCUGCUGCAGUCAUUUGACGUCCCUGGAUCUCCUCUUCUUCUCCGAUGUUUUAAUUCUCGUUCCGUGAACUUUGUUUUUUCGUGAACUUUGUACUCGCGCGUUCGUGGACGUAACUGGAUUUGAAUCGUUGGUCAUCGCUGGAUCUGGACAAGACCAUGGGAGACGCAACUGCGAACAACUUAUCCUUUUCUGGCAUUGUAUAAAUUGUUGUAAUCUGUGCAUUUUCAUUUGUGUUUACAUAUCCAGCUUUCUUUGUUUUUAUUUUGUUUUGACUUCAAGUUGAAGAGUGUUUGAGUGAUUUGAAUUAAAAGUCAUUUUUAAUUCGAGCUGUAAAUA